AACGAACGCUGGCGGCAUGCCUAACACAUGCAAGUCGAACGAGACCUUCGGGUCUAGUGGCGCACGGGUGCGUAACGCGUGGGAACCUGCCCUUAGGUUCGGAAUAACUCCCCGAAAGGGGUGCUAAUACCGGAUAAUGUCUUCGGACCAAAGAUUUAUCGCCUUUGGAUGGGCCCGCGUUGGAUUAGCUAGUUGGUAGGGUAAAAGCCUACCAAGGCGACGAUCCAUAGCUGGUCGGAGAGGAUGAUCAGCCACACUGGGACCGAGACACGGCCCAGACUCCGACGGGAGGCAGCAGUGGGGAAUAUUGGACAAUGGGCGAAAGCCUGAUCCAGCAAUGCCGCGUGAGUGAUGAAGGCCUUAGGGUUGUAAAGCUCUUUUACCCGGGAUGAUAAUGACAGUACCGGGAGAAUAAGCUCCGGCUAACUCCGUG
Molecule: ribosomal RNA, 433 nt
Filed under: uncultured bacterium
Lineage: Bacteria
Description: partial 16S ribosomal RNA
Rfam family: Bacterial small subunit ribosomal RNA
Source: RNAcentral